Non-coding RNA from Oryctolagus cuniculus (rabbit), 1284 nucleotides. The record is from RefSeq and is a predicted model, not a curated record. Lineage: Eukaryota; Metazoa; Chordata; Mammalia; Lagomorpha; Leporidae.
CGUCACCAGGCUAUGGCCUUGGCCGUAAGACUGUGGGAUGCUGGGAAAAGGUUCUGUGGGUUGGGAAGCAGGGAGGAGCUGUUCGUCCCACCCAUGGACCCCCGGCUCAUCAAUGCUGCAAACAGGCCGUCUUUUAGGGGGAUCCCCUUCUCAUCACAUCAGUGAGAGCAGCUGAGAAAGGACCCCCAUUGGGGGGAGGCUCGAGCUGCAGGGCCAGCACCCGUAGCAGCAGCUGUGCCCCUGGCCGGGCACUCCCAGGACAUGUGCUGCAGGUGCAGCGCACAGGACGCUGGGGCCCCAGGACCAGCCUCCAUGCCCACUACUCGCCAGACAGCCACCGGUCAGGGGUCACCUGCAGCUGAGGGCAGAGGGGAGCCCCCGCCUGAGCUGAUGCAGUUAAACAGCUCAGAAGGACCUCGAUGAUGCUCGACCCCAUGGCUGUGUGACCCUGGGCAAGAGACGGCAUCUCUCUGACCCGCUUUCCUCCUGACUUGACGGGGUGACCCCAGGGUGGUGAGAAGAGCUGACGUCCUAGGUGGGCACGCACCAGCGAGAACGAGACCAUCACGGCGUCCGGAGCUCCAGCAGACCUUGCGGGGCCUGGGCGCACAGCGGCCGCAGCUCUCAGGGGCCCCAACAUGGACAUUUGUGGGUGAGGCCCAUUUACCCACCGGGCUGCUGUUUGGGGAUACCGGGUGGUGCAGGAAGGGUUCACAGCAGUGUCGGGGGGGAUGGCCCAUGCAAGACCCCGCAUCACACCCCCCUGAGAGCCAGGCAGAGGGGACCUCAGAGAGGUGGAGCAAGUGGCAGACAGCCCUGAGGAUACACCCCCCCACCCCGGAUAUAAACUGCCCAAGGGUGAGGACUUCGUCCACCUCGCCCCUCACUCCCGCUGCGGCUGGACCCGGGUUGAGCGUGUGGCCAGAGGUGUGAUUUCUUCCACACACGCUCCCGCCAUCGGCCUUGGAGCCCUCACCUGCCGGCACCAGGCUGUUUGGAUUUUUAGCCUCCAAAACUGGGAUUUAAAUAGGCCUCUUCUCUUUAUCAAGUCAGCCUGCUUUAGGUCUCUGCUGGCCCUGCUGAAUGAACUCAUACAACUCACACGUUUGUUGAAUGAAUAAAUCGCCGGCCCCUCUCACAUUGCGUGACCUUGGGCAAGGACCCCCAGCCCUGGGGUCCUUUGCUUUAUCAUUAGCCCAAGAGAUGCUGCGACACGGGCCAUGCAGGGUGUGGCACCAUCUUAUCAGCCAGCAAGAAAGGAGCACAGCUCUUUGUGUCAUUCUG